GAUUAAGAACGUAGUGAAAUGCGAUACUUGGUGUGAAUUGCAGAAUCCCGUGAACCAUCGAGUCUUUGAACGCAAGUUGCGCCCGAAGCCAUUAGGCCGAGGGCACGCCUGCCUGGGCGUCACACGUCGUUGCCCCCCCAUCUACUCCUUCGGGAUUGCGGGGGGCGGAUGAUGGCCUCUCGUGCGCCUCGUCGCGCGGUUGGCCUAAAUGCCAAGUCCUCGGCGACGCACGCCACGACAAUCGGUGGUUGCGAAACCUCGGUUGCCUGUCGUGUGCGGUCGUCGCGCAUCGAGGGCUCGAAAAAAUUGCCGGGCUUCGGCUCGACUUUCAACGCGACCCCAGGUCAGGCGGGGUUACCCGCUGAAUUUAAGCAUAUCAAUAAGCGGAGGA
RNAcentral lists this unclassified non-coding RNA (391 nucleotides) under soil metagenome. Its description in RNAcentral is "partial contains 5.8S ribosomal RNA, internal transcribed spacer 2, and large subunit ribosomal RNA". The stretch from base 1 to 122 matches the Rfam family "5.8S ribosomal RNA", at positions 35 to 154 of the family's 154-position model. The record is from RNAcentral.